Molecule: unclassified non-coding RNA, 432 nt
Filed under: Hevea brasiliensis (rubber tree)
Lineage: Eukaryota; Viridiplantae; Streptophyta; Magnoliopsida; Malpighiales; Euphorbiaceae
Source: RNAcentral
AAAUAGAAAAAAAAAAAAAAAACAAAAAGACUGCAAUUUCACCACCACCAAAACCUUAUCUCCCCCCCAAAAAUCCCAGCCAACAAAACCACAAAAAUCUCCACAGUAAUUAAAAAACACAGGAUCAAACCAAACACCUAAAGAAAGUGCUCGCCUUUCUUGCAAUGAACCCCACCAUCUCACAUCCACCAAAUCCCUAAAUCCAACAAAAUCUUCAAAAUUGGAAAAACAGUGGAAACACGCUCAAUACAUAGCCUGUACCUUAACUUAAUAAACAACAACAACGACCAGCAGGAAAGUGGAAACCCUAGGAAGUAGAAAGAGAAAUCUAGGGCUUGUAGAGGAAAAGAGCGACAAUGAGAGAGAGAUCUAGGGCACAGAGAUUGCACUGUGAGUAUAACAGAGCAGUAGAGUAAUAAGUUCACAGACGAU